GGGUUGUGAGGUUAAGCGACUAAGCGUACACGGUGGAUGCCCUGGCAGUCAGAGGCGAUGAAGGGCGUGCUAAUCUGCGAUAAGCGCCGGUAAGGUGAUAUGAACCGUUAUAACCGGCGAUACCCGAAUGGGGAAACCCAGUGUGAUUCGUCACACUAUCAUUAACUGAAUCCAUAGGUUAAUGAGGCGAACCGGGGGAACUGAAACAUCUAAGUACCCCGAGGAAAAGAAAUCAACCGAGAUUCCCCCAGUAGCGGCGAGCGAACGGGGAGGAGCCCAGAGCCUGAAUCAGCAUGUGUGUUAGUGGAAGCGUCUGGAAAGGCGCGCGAUACAGGGUGACAGCCCCGUACACAAAAGCGCAUGUGCUGUGAGCUCGAUGAGUAGGGCGGGACACGUGGUAUCCUGUCUGAAUAUGGGGGGACCAUCCUCCAAGGCUAAAUACUCCUGACUGACCGAUAGUGAACCAGUACCGUGAGGGAAAGGCGAAAAGAACCCCGGCGAGGGGAGUGAAAAAGAACCUGAAACCGUGUACGUACAAGCAGUGGGAGCNNGGGCGUUAAGUUGCAGGGUAUAGACCCGAAACCCGGUGAUCUAGCCAUGGGCAGGUUGAAGGUUGGGUAACACUAACUGGAGGACCGAACCGACUAAUGUUGAAAAAUUAGCGGAUGACCUGUGGCUGGGGGUGAAAGGCCAAUCAAACCGGGAGAUAGCUGGUUCUCCCCGAAAGCUAUUUAGGUAGCGCCUCGUGAAUUCAUCUCCGGGGGUAGAGCACUGUUUCGGCUAGGGGGCCAUCCCGGCUUACCAACCCGAUGCAAACUGCGAAUACCGGAGAAUGUUAUCACGGGAGACACACGGCGGGUGCUAACGUCCGUCGUGAAGAGGGAAACAACCCAGACCGCCAGCUAAGGUCCCAAAGUCAUGGUUAAGUGGGAAACGAUGUGGGAAGGCCCAGACAGCCAGGAUGUUGGCUUAGAAGCAGCCAUCAUUUAAAGAAAGCGUAAUAGCUCACUGGUCGAGUCGGCCUGCGCGGAAGAUGUAACGGGGCUAAACCAUGCACCGAAGCUGCGGCAGCGACGCUGAUGCGUUGUUGGGUAGGGGAGCGUUCUGUAAGCCUGCGAAGGUGACCUGUGAGGGUUGCUGGAGGUAUCAGAAGUGCGAAUGCUGACAUAAGUAACGAUAAAGCGGGUGAAAAGCCCGCUCGCCGGAAGACCAAGGGUU
Molecule: ribosomal RNA, 1218 nt
Filed under: Salmonella enterica subsp. enterica serovar Typhimurium
Lineage: Bacteria; Pseudomonadati; Pseudomonadota; Gammaproteobacteria; Enterobacterales; Enterobacteriaceae
Description: partial 23S ribosomal RNA
Rfam family: Bacterial large subunit ribosomal RNA
Source: RNAcentral